RNAcentral lists this long non-coding RNA (4064 nucleotides) under Mytilus galloprovincialis (Mediterranean mussel). Lineage: Eukaryota; Metazoa; Mollusca; Bivalvia; Mytilida; Mytilidae. The record is from RNAcentral.
CGUUUUGGAAAUACCCUUCGUUUUUCGAUAAUCUAUUUUUAGCCAGUUUCUCAGAUACAACAAAGUGUCCAUUCACAAAGAGGAAGAGAUAUACAGGUUUGCAUAGUCAUUUUAAUCAAUAUUCAUUCCGUUCUUUGAUGAUGAAACAUUCGCCUACAGUGGAUGUGCAUACUGCAAAUUAGCUACGGAACCAUAGCUCUCACAUGUACAUGUAUACUUUUUGACAAUUUGCGCACAGGCACUUAAUUGUCUCAGAAUUUUUUUUUCCUAUAUACCUUUAUAUAUAUUAAGUAUACAAGUGCCUGUGAAUUUGCGGUAAAGAGGGAAAUUUCAUAUACACUUUUGAAAAGUUCUAUGAAAAUGUGCACUUACAACAUAAUUAAAAGAAUCAAAUAAGUACUGAUACACCAAUAUAGUUAACUAGAUUAUAGUUAUCUUGUUUAGUAUUUUCUCAACAAUUACUUGAGAAUUUUAAAUUUUAAACAUACAGGUUUAGAUUAAAUCUAAUUAUUAGUAAAAUUGAACUAAUAUUAAUGACUUUACAAAGUUUGGCCGAAAUGGCUGCAUGAUGGCCUAAACGACUGUGGCUUAAUAGGGCUAUGGCCGAUACACUAGUGUGGCAGAAACGUCCUGCAAAGGUCCUUAAUGUGAGCAUACUAAAUAACUAGUCCAAAUAAUCUUGAAAGGCUAUUAUAUUUUAUUUCUUCGACGAAGUAAGGCGUCAAAGAAAAAAAAUAUAAUAGCCGUCGAAGUAAGGCAUCAAAGAAAAAAAAUAUAAUAGCCUUUCAAGACGCAUUGUCAAGACGUCAUAAUUAUUUGGACCAACUAAAUAACCUAGGUUUUUAAAUAAGCUCGAUUGGGCUUUACAGAGUGGUAUAACAUUGGUAAAAGUAGAUAUAUGAAUGUUUUAAAGCCAUUUAUCAAAUCAGCCAAUACUGUUUUGUUUUGUCAAAGUACAUGUAUUAUUCUCUGGUAUGAAAAGGAUUUGAUAUUCAUUAAAUAAUUAUUUCAACUUAUACUGUAAGAAAUUUACAGCAAUCAGUCAUUUCUGAAUACAUUUGAUCAAUAAAACUGGGAUUAUGUGCUAAAAUAGCUAAUUUAAAUUAUAAAUAACAAAAAUGGACACAACAGAUAAUACCUGUUCCCUUAUUAAAACACAUUCAACUGCAAAUUGUGUUUUUUUUUUACAUGUUUAUAACAUGGGUAAAAUUUACUUUGAUUUUGAACUUUUGUGAUUUUCAUAAUUGAGCUUUUAAGAUACUGGUAGGAGUUACAAUCUAUUGGCACCAAUUUUGACAGAAUAAGUUUUUUCACUUAUUUUCUGGAUGAAAUAGUUUAAAGGAUUCCUGAAAAACAUUGUCCAAAAAAGAGUCGAGAGAUACAUAUUACCAAAGGGAUAUAAAAAAUCAUGUCCAAAACAAACUGACAAAGUCAUGACAAAAAAUGAAAAACAACGAAAAGACAAACGGUACACAAAACACAAAAAAGAAUACUAAAGACUGAAUCUUAUAUGAAGUUCAAUUUUUUUCAAACUGCUACAUUGACAAAAAAAAAUAAUUAAAACAACAAAAGGUGCAUUGUAUUUUGUCAUUUUUAACUGUCUUAUUUUUUUAAGACCUGUAAAAGAGCAAUGUCAUGAAUGUAGACGAUCAUACAUGUAGAAGAUCAUACAUGUAUGUCAAUAAUAAACCAAAUAUAUUUUGUACAUCUAACAUGCUUUUAAAAUAUAUACUUCUACAUAGCAUUUUCAAGUUCUAACUUCCAUAGUUUUUAAAGACUCAGAAAUAAUGAAUAAAGUUAAACUUUAGUUAGUAUGCAAAACAAAACUUUCUUUUUAAAGAAAAGUAGUAGCUUAUUUCGAUAAAUUUUAUGUUCUAAGGAUGUUUCAGUGUUUCCUAAUAUGUUCAAAAAAAUGUAUCAUAUACAUGAUAUAUAUCUAAUAUUUUGUGCAGCAGAAUAAGAUCUGACCAAUACAGAUACAAUAGAUCUUUUGUAAAUUAUAAGAUAAUAAAGUAGGUGUAUAUUGUUGUUGUUAUUGAAAGUUUGCAAUUUGAUAUAUAACAUUAGAAUUACACAUAACUUUCUUAAAAGAUGGGACACCAUUUUUUUUGGGAUACAUUGCUGUCAAGCAAUCUGUACGGACUUAUACGGUGGCUCAGAGCAAUUCUCCCUCACGUAAUCGUUUUAUUCUAAACAUUAACGGCAGUCUCACGAAUGUCUGUAUGAUUGUCUUGCUUUAAAAAGGUAAAAACAAAACAAAGGGAUUUGAACUUAAAUCAACUGUUCCUAUAAUGGUUCUUUGCAGUUAAUCUCAUGUUGAUAAUUUCCUUGACUUCGCAUGCGUGUUUUUAACAAACACGGAAAUCAGAAUUUAAGCAAGUACUAUUUAUAUUUAGUUGUAGUUAUAAAUUUAGAAACACGUCGAGGGAAUUCCCAGUUUGAUUAAAAUGCGAGAUUCUCUGAAUACGAUAAAUCUAUUAUCUGUUCAUAUAGGAAACUGAAGUGGAGUUUUCUUAUAUGUUACCGUUAUGAAACUGAUAUUGAGAUUGUAACUUCCAAUAAAGAAUUGGUGAGAACCUCUAGGUCGUUUAAUAAGCAUUAAUAUGAUCUUGCCCCAGGGUUGAUUUGGAAAUUAUGGCGCAUGCGUAUAGUUUCUUGCUUUAAGCGGGUUUUAGAUGAAUGGGUUGCUCUGGAUUCCCCACUCAAUUAAUUAAUUUAUAACUCAUGGAAUCUUCUUUCGUAUGUAUGUCUGCGUAUGAGGCUGUAAUUGUUGUUGCAUAAUUUUAAAUCAUUAUGGCAUCAUUUAGAUUAAAUAAAUAUGAUUCCACAUCGUAGAACCCCCUUUCAGGCGAAAUGGAAGUCCUUCCAUAUUAUCGGUUUCGAGUUGUUACUCCCUUCCGGCAGUAUAACUUUCCGUGAAUUCUGAACAUAAACAAGAUGUCGAGUAAGCUCAUUCAUUGGUCAAAUAAACGGCGUAAUUUUAUAUGAAAAAACGAAAUGCAAUUUAAAACCGAUAAAUGCUGUACGGAAAGGAGCCUGAUGACUGAUCCAUAAGGAAAUUAAAUAUUUAAGAGUUAGGAAUGCGGGUUCCUCCUAGAACAUUAACGUAGGGAAAAGGUGAUAAGAACGAAAUUGAAAUCACCAUCUACACUUCAUACGACGAUCCAAUUCAGCACAUUGUGGACGUAUACGUCGGCGGCUCGCUUAACAGACACUAAUAACAAUUAAAACCGAAUGAGUGAAAUAAAAUACCUUUCUGCUGACAUCUCUCCACUCUGAGUCGGUCAGUGACUGCUGUGGAAAGUAAACUUAAUUUGGUAUUGAUAGUACAAAAAAAAACACAAGACCUAAUUUACAUACACCUUAUCGCUAAUCACCGGCUGACCCGGCCGCUUGAACUUUUGACGCAUACAAACAAUCACUUUUCCAUGUGUGGCGUUCAGAUUUUUGUUUUAUGACGUCAAAAUUUUACGGGAACCUGUGCGAUAUCCAGUUAAGUCGACAAAUACGCGAUAAGGUCGUAUUGUUCAUACACUUUUAUCAGGGUUUGGUAUUUUGUAACUAUUUUACAUGUCUGUUUGUCAUUUGAUUGUAUUGAAAAUAUAUUAUCAGCUACAUGCAUACAUGCCUGGCAAUGAAACAAUGGCAAUCGUAUCCCCUCAGAGCAAUCUGCUCUUUGAUUAAUCUAUUUUGUUUAGUAAAAAUUCCUGUGAGAGGGCUCAGAGGGGCAUUUACCAAAAUAACAAUCUCAUUUUCACCUUUUAGCAUGCAUGUCAUAUUAAAGAUGUUAAAUAAAACAAGUUGAAGAGUGAAAAUUUCAUUAGUAUAUAAUCAUGAUAAUAUAUGCAUGUUACAUGGAUGUGAUGAAAUUUGAACCAUAUAUACAUUGUAGGUGUAAUUAAGGUCUCAAACAGCAAUAGUGUUGCCAAAGUGAUAAUAUAGUAUACAGUUAUUAAAGAAGAUAUGUCUAAGUCUGAUCAGAGAGAUUCUGUACCUGUUACUCCAGAGGAACAAACAUCCUUAAAACAAGGACUUAUGACUAAUGGUAUUAAACAACCAGAAAG